UAAACUAGGAUUAGAUACCCUAUUAUUAAAAAUGUAAAUUAAUAAUACUAAAGUAGUAUUAGUUAAUAUCUUGAAAUUUAAAAAAUUUGGCGGUAUUUUAGUCUAUUUAGAGGAACCUGUUCUAUAAUUGAUAGUCCACGAUUUAUUAAACUUUAAUUUUAUAUUUGUAUAUCGUUGUUUAGAGAAAAUUUUAAAAGAAUUUAAAUUUUUAUAAUUUUUAAUUAAAAAAUAAUUCAAAUCAAGGUGCAGUUUAUAUUAAAGUAGAAAUGGGUUACAAUAAAUUUAUUUAAAUAUGGAUAUUAUUUUGAAAUAAAUAGUUGAAGGUGGAUUUAAUAGUAAUGAAAUUAAAUUAAAUUUUAUGAUUUUAGCUCUAAAAUAUGUACAUAUCGCCCGUCGCUCUUAUUAUAAAAUAAGAUAAGUCGUAACAAAGUAGAUUUACUGGAAAGUGAAUCUAGAAUGACAAAUUAGAGCUUGAAAAGUAAAGCAUUUUAUUUACAUUAAAAGGUUGUCGUGCAAUUCGAUUUAAUGAAAUUAAAAUUUUAUUUAAUGUUUAUGUUUAUUUUAAAUUAUAUAAAAUAAUUUAUAAUAAAAUUUUAUUUUAGUAUUUAAUUAAGAAAAAAUAAUAAUAAUUAUAGUUUAUUAGUAUUGUGAAAGAAUAUAGUUUAAUUAUUAAAAAGUAUAAUUAAUUAUUUGUACCUUGUGUAUCAGGGUUUAUUAAUUAAAAUUUAUUGAUUUUAAUUUUCUCGAUUUUAAAUGAGUUAAUUAAAUGUUUUUUUUAUUGUAGAAUUAAUAUUUAAAAUAUUUAAUUAGUAGUGAAAUGUUAUUCGUAUUUAAAUAUAUCUAGUUUAUUUAGAAAUAAAUUAAAUUUAGUAUUUAUUAAUUUAAUUAAGUUAAUUUUUUAAUUUAAUUAAUUUUAAAUAUAAUAAUUAAAGGGAUUAGCUUUUAAUUAAAAUAUUAUAAGUAAUUAUAAAUAUAAUUGAAAAUUGUAAGUUUAGAAAUAUCUAUCAUAUUAGUUUGUUAAAAUUAAUUUUAUAUUAAUUAAUAUUUUUUAUUUGCUUUAAAUUAUUUAUAAAUUUAUUUAAAUGAUAAUUAUUAAUUGUUUAGUAAUAAUGAUAGAAUUAGUAUAUUUAAAUUUUAAAAAUAAAAUUUUUAAUAAGGUUUUAAAAAGGAAUUCGGCAAAUAUUUAAUUCGCCUGUUUAUCAAAAACAUGUCCUUUAGUUUUAUUUUUAAGGUCGGGCCUGCUCAAUGAUUAUAAUUAAAUAGCCGCAGUAUUUUGACUGUGCAAAGGUAGCAUAAUCAUUAGUUUUUUAAUUGAAAGCUAGAAUGAAGGGUUUGACGAAAUUAAUACUGUCUCUUUAGAAUUUAUAGAAUUUAAUUUUUAAGUUAAAAAGCUUAAAUAUUAGUAAAAGACGAGAAGACCCUAUAGAGUUUUAUAAUUAAUAAAUUUAUAUUUAUAAGGAAUAUUUUUUGUUUAAUUUUAUUAAUUAUUUUAUUGGGGUAAUAUAAAGAUUUAAUUAAUUCUUUAUUGAUUUAAACAUUUAUUUAUGUUUUUUUGAUCCAUUAAUAAUGAUAAUAAGAAUAAAUUACCUUAGGGAUAACAGCGUAAUUUUUUUGGAGAGUUCAUAUUGAUAAAAAAGUUUGCGACCUCGAUGUUGGAUUAAAGAUUAUUUUAGAUGUAGAAGUUUAAAAUUUUGGUCUGUUCGACCAUUAGAUCUUUACAUGAUCUGAGUUCAAACCGGAGAGU
RNAcentral lists this ribosomal RNA (1744 nucleotides) under Apotomus sp. NLG-2014. Its description in RNAcentral is "partial 16S ribosomal RNA". The record is from RNAcentral. Lineage: Eukaryota; Metazoa; Arthropoda; Insecta; Coleoptera; Carabidae.